RNAcentral lists this long non-coding RNA (1407 nucleotides) under Homo sapiens (human). RNAcentral's name for it is "HSALNT0267675". Lineage: Eukaryota; Metazoa; Chordata; Mammalia; Primates; Hominidae. The record is from RNAcentral.
GCAGGGCCUCGAGGAAGUAGGUGAGCUUCUCCAUCCCUGUCUGUCUAGAUGCAGAGAACCCAAAGCCCUGCAGGAUGGCAAAGCUGCAACAUGGAAGUCACCCGGAUCACCACGUAAAGGAAAUCUCUCCAACCAGGAACAAACACCUGCCUUGCAAUAUUAGGUGGCCACCAGACUUUCUCUGCUUGUAUCCUCCCAGGACCACAGAACUCAUCGCAUCCCAAGGCAGCCUAUUCCAUCAUGGAUGAGCUCAAAGUGUUUGAAAGUUCUGCUUUAUCAAAACUCUUGAUGGCCUGCUUCCCAUCCUCCAUCCUGGAAGACUGAUCUGAAACCCCAGGAGGAGGUCCUCUGAGCCCUGAGGCAGAGAUCUCUCACCUGGAAGAUGGGUCUAAUGACUGCGCCCCACACACACCAGAGAGGACUGCAGAUAGUGCGGGAUGAGAGGAAGAUCUCUGGCCCUGGAGACAGCAUCAUCAAGCGAAAACGUAUGAGGAAGAAAAUAGCAGAUGAGAAGAAUCAACCAAAUUCCGGAAGCUGGAAGGCAGAUGGGACUCUCUCAUCUUCUACCAUGGAAUGAUGCAGCAAGAAGGCCCUUGAAUGAUGCCAGCACCUUGAUAUUGGACUUUCCAGCCUCCAGAACCAUGAGCCAAUACAUUUCUGUUCCAUAAAAAUUACCCAGUUCCAGGUAUUCUGCUAUAGCAGCACAAAAUGGACUAAAACAAUGUUGGCACAAGACUCAGUGCUGGGCCUGGCAUGCAACAGGUCCUUGGAGUGGCGUGCUGUGUGGAUAAUGAAUAUUGGGGAAGGCAUCUCUCUCCAGCCCCUCUCAAGCUUUCUGUAGUCACUGGUCCACUCUGUAUUGCUAUGAAGAAGCUCAAGACCAGCCUGUAUCACUCGGGGUCCUGGCAGGAACCAGGUGCCACACUCAAACUGAGUAAUUGAAGAGGGUUUAAUAUGGGAGUUAUUUACAUAGGUGUGGGCUGGUGUAGCUGCCCAUAUGCCCUCAAAAUCACCUCUACAUGGCAAUAGCUACUUACUGCUAACAGAGUCUCUCUCUCAUUGCUGCAAAUAUUUUCUAGCCAUGCAAGAAACUCAGCCGGUCAUGUUGAACAAACUAAGAGUGCCAGGAAGUUAAUGUCCUGGAAGCAUUGCCAGAGGGGAGGGGGCAGUUAGAUUCCCCAGCUUCCUCGCUCCUCUGCUGGGUUAAGCCUGCAACAUAUUCAUCAUCUCCCAGAGUGCUGCCCAGGGAUAGAGCUCCAGGUGCUCAGUGUGGUGACCUGCUCAUGUCAGCUUCUUCCCCUUUCCUGUCUUGUUUCGCACCCACAUCCUUCCCAUGUUUCCUCUUCCCAAAUAAACUACUUGCAUUGAAAUCUUUGUCUCAGGCUCUGCUUCUGGGGAAACCUGAAC